ACAGCUACUUUCGCUAUAAACGCAUUUCAGAAGAAAUGGAUUUUGGAUGCCAAGCAAAACCACCAUCUGAUGCCAAAGGCGUUUACAGUAAAAACAUUUGAUUCUAAUGACAAUGAAGUCGUAUCCAGAAAAGCUCCAGAACCAUGUCAUUACCAAGGCUCUAUUCGUGGAAUCCCUGAUUCUGUUAUUGUUUUAGAUACGUGCAGUGGA
Long non-coding RNA from Exaiptasia diaphana, 210 nucleotides. RefSeq lists it as uncharacterized. NCBI's taxonomy places the organism in Eukaryota, Metazoa, Cnidaria, Anthozoa, Actiniaria, Aiptasiidae. The transcript has 3 exons. The record is from RefSeq and is a predicted model, not a curated record.